Sceloporus undulatus (fence lizard) is the source of this 2218-nucleotide long non-coding RNA. RefSeq lists it as uncharacterized. The transcript has 2 exons. The record is from RefSeq and is a predicted model, not a curated record. Lineage: Eukaryota; Metazoa; Chordata; Lepidosauria; Squamata; Phrynosomatidae.
UCCAUUCAUUCCACACAGACUAGAUUUCAAACUCUGAAUAUUAAACACUGUGUUACCAAAGACCAGGGUAUCGCCCACUCAGUAUAAUGGCAUUUAUUAAAAAUGGAAUACAAGUGGUAUGAAGGUCAAAAUGCAGGACAGAAGAAAACACACUUUGAUGGCUCUCUCCUUCUUUUACAGGGCAACAGAUGCAAGAUCUUUUACAGCAGUAUAGAAUAAAACACAUUUCAACAUAUUUUACAAUAAUUCUUAACUUAGCUCUCUCUCCUUGUUUUACAGAAUACUACAGAGCACUAAAUUCAAGAAACCACAUUAUAGGGUUGCCUUUGGGUCAUCGUAAGUUGGAAAUAACUUGAAGGCACACAGCAGCAACAAAGACAACAACACACUUUGGUGUGUUUUACAAUAAUUCUUAGCCUACCUUUCUGUCUGUCUUCUACAGAACACUUCAGCUCUUACAAUGAGGAUAUGAAAACAAAUCAUUUCUGAUGUAAAACUUUGGAAAUCAAUGUGGGCACCAGACAUUUCCUCCUGGAGAAAACCUUCCACAAGUGAGUGCUAUUGCCAAGAAUGCCUGCUCUCCAGUCAUCACCACUACAUCACUGCUGGUGGUAGCAUCCACAGAAGAGCUUUAAGCAGUCACCUCAGUGAUCAGACCUGCAGACUUGUAUGGAGAGAGAUGACCGUUCAGACCCUAACUCUGUUCAUAAUCCAUAAAGGGCUUGAAAAGGUCAAUUCAGAACCAGGACAAUAGACUUGUGAACAGUCUGGUGACCAUUUUAGCUGCUGAAAGAAUAGCAGAAUGUGUAUGGUUAUAAUAUAUAUGGUGACAGCAAAGCAGGAACGCUUGAUAACUUUCAAAGAAUUAUAGUUAUAAUUUUAUUUAUUUGUUUGUUUGUUUGUUUAUAUCUCAUCCUUUUCCCAAAUUAGGACUCAGAGUGGAUUACAGUAUUAAAAAAUAGUACAAUUAAAAGCAUACAAAAAUGGCACAUUAAAACAGAAUUAAAUUAUUACAAUAUUAAAACAGUUAGUUUGGAAACUACUAGAAGUAUAAUAUUUGAUAGGUUUUGGUUGGCUUGUAAUUUAUUUUACAUUUGAGAGCUGUGGGCAGGGCGUUAACUCCCUGAGACAUGGCUGCAGCACACGUGCAGCUACUUUAGGUUUCAGUUACAAUAAAGCACACCAGCCAGCGCUGAAUGCUCCAAACUUUACUUCAAAUUAACAGCCCAAAAUAACAGCUUAAGUCUCAAUUAGGAAAAUAAAUGGGCCCUCAGUUGCGUCACUGAAGGUACACCCAUAUAACUUCUGAGAGUUCUAGUUCCUUCACUAAGCUCCGGGUUCUUCCUUGGUAUAGCCUCCCAGCAUACACUUUUCCAGUUGUUCUGUCUCAGCCUUUUCCUCCAACUUCGGUCCUGGGCGUUGUUCCCACUGGUCACCUCGUGGGUCCCACCACUCUCCUUCCAAAGUUUCUUUGGACCGUCUCCGCCACUCUCCCUCCUCUGGAUACCUGAAGUCUCCCUCUCUCCUGGGUCAGGCAAUGUUACUUCUACGUGGGGUCUCACCCUCAAUAAGCUAUGCCUCCCUUGCAAGGUAACCGGACAGCCUACCCUUCCUGGGCUUCAGAUUACUUGGCUUCUCCCUGUCAUGACCACCUCUGUGCAUCCCCGUCUUCCGCGUUUGCCGCCCCUCCUCAUGUCCACCUGUCCUUCACCUUUUAUAUCCUGCCCCUGGGGCAUAUUCUCCCUUCCCUUGGAUUCCCCUGGGUCCUCUCUCCCCUUGCUCCCUGGCUCUGCCCAAUCAACCCUCUCUUCUUCCUCCCCUGCCUGGCUACAAGAGCCAAAAUACAAUUGCGCACACCUUCAAGAAACCUGUCAACUCAUAGCAUCCUUAAGAAUUUCAUAGGGUUUUCUUAGGCAAGGAAUACUCAGAGGAGGUUUUGCCAUUUUCUUCCUCUUAGUGCUUGACAAAUGAUAUCUAUGAGAUUUGAUUGCUUUGACUUUGGCAAGCCAACAAGCCUAGAAAUUUGAAUUUCAAGUUAUUGAACGGUAUUAUUUUAUUUAUACCCUACCUUUCCCUCAAACCAGCGGUGUCACUAGGGGUGGUGUGGACUGCAUGGGGUGACACCCAGUCAGGCCCUCCCCAUGUUCCCUCCCAUGCCUCCCUGUUGGCCCAGCCAGUUUAAUAAAUGUUUUUAUUAAAAUCAUUUUAUUGCUGGUAA